AAAGGAAUAGACGGGGGCCCGCACAAGCAGUGGAGUAUGUGGUUUAAUUCGAAGCAACGCGAAGAACCUUACCAGGGCUUGACAUCCUCUGCCCGCUUUAGAGAUAAAGCUUUCUCUUCGGAGACAGAGAGACAGGUGGUGCAUGGUUGUCGUCAGCUCGUGUCGUGAGAUGUUCGGUUAAGUCCGGCAACGAGCGCAACCCUUGUUGUUAGUUGCCAUCAUUAAGUUGGGCACUCUAGCGAGACUGCCGUUGACAAAACGGAGGAAGGUGGGGACGACGUCAAAUCAUCAUGCCCCUUAUGUUCUGGGCUACACACGUACUACAAUGGUAACAACAGCGAGCCGCGAAGUCGCGAGACGGAGCCAAUCUCGAAAUGUUAUCUCAGUUCAGAUUGCAGGCUGCAACUCGCCUGCAUGAAGCAGGAAUUGCUAGUAAUGGCAGGUCAGCAUACUGCCGUGAAUACGUUCCCGGGCCUUGUACACACCGCCCGU
This 492-nucleotide ribosomal RNA is filed under the name uncultured bacterium. Its description in RNAcentral is "bacterial SSU rRNA". It matches the Rfam family "Bacterial small subunit ribosomal RNA", at positions 903 to 1397 of the family's 1533-position model. The record is from RNAcentral.